Cottoperca gobio is the source of this 3150-nucleotide long non-coding RNA. The record is from Ensembl. NCBI's taxonomy places the organism in Eukaryota, Metazoa, Chordata, Actinopteri, Perciformes, Bovichtidae.
GGCUCUGCGAGUGUGUGUAUACCAGGUCAGUUAUCUGAUAGUUAGGCCUACCCUUUUUUUUCGGGAAAGUCUGUUGAAGUCCGUCUCUCCGGUCAUAAUGUGCGCUUUGGCAAUAUUGAAGAUAUAACGGAAUGUAACACGCCGCGAGAUGUAUCUUUGUACAGGCUACACCUGUAGCGCACAUAUUGCGUAUGGUUGUGAGAGUCACAGGCAAAACAAGACGUGAGCUUUUGUAUUGGGAUUGUUUCUUCAGAUUUUGGACCCAGCACAGCUCUGCGAAACUUCAACUUUUUCACUGAGUUUGUGUAAUAUUGUCACGACUCUGGCUUUGUGUUUCCUGUUUUAUUUUGUAAAGUUCACUCCCCUUGUGUCAUUUCUUGUUUUACUUCCUGUCUGUGUUUUUCCCUCCCCCUGUGAUUGUUGAUUUGAUCCUCCUGUGUCCAUCCACCCUGGCCUUGUGUCUUUGCCUUUCUUCCCCAGCUGUGUCUCGUUCCCUCGUUUAGUGUCUGUGUGUAUAUAUCCCUGUCUGUCCCAGUGUUCUGGUUCUGUUCGUCAUUCUUGUUACACUUAUGUUGCCUUGUGUUACUCGUGCGUCCUUGUGCUUCCCGGUUUGUGUUUUUUCACUUAACUUGUUACCUUGUUUUUGUAUUUGAUUAGCUUUUAGAAAUAAAGCUCUCUUUUUGUUUAACCUCAUCGGGUGUUCUGCAUCCACCUCUUCACCUAGUCGUAACAAAUAUGGCAUCAAACGUGCGGGUGUGUGGCCCAGUGGUCAGACGGCAGGCAGCCAGAGGUUUGGCUCGUUUGGAAGGACCAGCUCAGGCCUGAUUACUGGGCCGUCCUCGCAGGAGGAGUUCUCAAGUCCGAAAGAUUAGGAGCUCUUCCAGAAACCACAGUGAGAGGAGAGAACAUCAACAAAAAGGGCUUCGGUAAAACAUUUUUCAAUUUAGAUUGUAGUUGCAACUGAAAUAUUUAAUUGGCAAAGAAAGAAAGUGAUGCUCCAGUUCAGUUAUUCUGGAGAUCCAAUGAGAGCAGCACUUGGACCAUUGAGAAGAGACUGCUUUUCUCCUAAGCCCUGGCCUGAAGGAAGAGGAAAAAAACUUGUGACUGAACGGCAACAGAUUCAAGUUUCUAAGCAGCUGAGAAGAUGUGCUUGGAGCACUGAAUGCAGUGUCACUCUCUUUCCUCAACAACACUGCAGAUGACGUGUUGAGUUAGUCACAACCAGCAUCACUGUUUGAUUUUCAAAGGUUGUCUUAAAAAUAUAAAUAUGUUUUUAAAUUAUGCUUAAAAAUGGGAAGCACAUUCCCACAUUUUGUUUAUAUGGGAAUACAAUGUUGAGAGCAUGAAGGUGAUUGGCUGGACGGAGAAUAGAAGACAAGACCAGAGAGCAAUACGCACUAUACGGUUUUCACAAUAAAUUCAGACAUUUGUUAUUUUAAAAACAAACAUUAAAUCUCACAAAAACAAGUGGACAUUUUUUCUUAUUUCCUCUUUUACCGCUGCAAUAUUUAACCUUUUUCAAAUACAACCAUCUUGUAUAACACACAGCCUGGGCAAGUUUUGAGCAAAUGCUUAAAAAGUGCCGUUGUUUUAUAGAUUGUUGUUUACUAUAUAGAGAUGUCAAAUGUUUUUCAGUGAUGAUAGUAUCUGCCAUUUAUCCACUCCCGAAAAUGUAAGAUAUUGGGUGAAAUGCUUAUUUUGGCAAGGAAACUUCAAUGAAAGAAACACAGAGAGGGUUUUCCUCUCUAUUGUUUCACUUGUGAAUCACACGGUAUUGCAAUUAACUAUUGCAAUUGGUGUCUGAUAUGUACUUCCAAUAAAUGUAACAUUAACAAUCCCACUCAAUGGUAAAGUCAUGGUGUUCUUCAGCACAAGGCUUAUUCUCAAUUCCCUUAACCUUGAAUGGGGAACUUCCCCCCCUCUGGAGUCAGAUAAUGUUUGGUAAGAUUCCAUAUUUGAUUAUCACCAACAUUUAUUACCACCAUCUCCACAGCUUCAGUAUCUGCUGUGCAAUUCUUGUAUUCAGUGGUAGUGAAUAAGCCUUAUAGUAACACAUUCCACCCAUAAUAAUACAUGGAUGAAAAUGAAAAGAAAUCUAUUGUUUUUUAAAAUGUAAAUCACACUGGAACUUGUAAUUUUAACUAAAUUACCAACAUCAUACAUUAAUUUUAUAAUUACUAAAUCAACCGUUCACUUUGUCCUUUUAGCAACAGGCUACUUUUAGAAUGCCAUGUGUAAAAUAAAGCAUGCCGUUCAAGCUUUCAUCUGUGCACAGGGAGGACACAACACAAUGAAAGUAAUAAACACAUGCCACAUUACACAAAGAAUGGAUCUUUGUAAAAUAGUGAUUGUGUUUUGAAACUAUACCCUUCAAAUAAUCACAUUUCAAUUGCGCCAUAAGGAGGAAAAACAAUCUCUGGUGCCAUCAUGUGUCCUUGAUUCAGAUGACAGCUGAGGCUGGUUAAAAACAACUGGAGACUAACUGAGGUGGAUUAAACCACCAAUCAACACUCAUUUUUUGUAAUAAAUCACAUAUUGACACUCAGUACUGUGUGUGUUUGACUUGGUGUGGUAGCAGAGUGAAACCAGGCCUUCCUCAGCAGCAACUCCCUGCUCAUUUUUGAUCCUGGACUACUGCAAUUAUGGAUAAACAGGACAUUUUUUCAUAUAAACCAGUUUUGUUUGAGUUGAAUGUGUAUGUUUUCCAAUGCAGAGAACAUCCUGUCUGGCAUCAAGGAUUGCAUAUAUUAACUGUGAAUUGGUAUUGGAACAUUAGAAAUAAUAUGAGACUAUGUUUCUGUUACAGUUGAUGCUGUGGGGUAUGCAGAUCAAUCUGGCAUUUACUAAAUCUUCCCAGCAGCACAGAUCCUAAACCUAAAAAAUGCUGCCUUGAAUUUAGAACUAUUACAAUUUGAUUUGUCUUCAAAGACAAAUGAAAGUGGUAAACUAAUCAGUUCUAUAAUACACACACGAAAGACACAACUCUGCUGGUUCCAGAGUUCUGUCAACAUAUUUUAUAGUCCAUAAUGUUACAUUUUAAUUUUAAAUGAUUAGUUUCAAUCUGCUCUGGUUCCUCUUAAAUGUCACAUCGAAUGGCAAGCCCGUUGAGCUUUUUAAUCAGUAGUGGUUACAGCAAUUGUAGAUAUAAAC